Triticum dicoccoides is the source of this 675-nucleotide long non-coding RNA. RefSeq lists it as uncharacterized. The transcript is spliced from 3 exons. The record is from RefSeq and is a predicted model, not a curated record. Lineage: Eukaryota; Viridiplantae; Streptophyta; Magnoliopsida; Poales; Poaceae.
ACGCCCCCAACCCUUCCCCGUCAUCCAUAAGUCACCUCCGGCGGCGGCGGCGGCCGCGUCUGCUACACCUUCUCCACCGGCAGGUCAGCUCAGAUGUCAACAACCAGGAAGAGACCUUCUCCCAGUUCUGCAGUUGGACAGAGCAAAAAGCCAUCUGGAAAGGCUCCCCUGCCCACGAAUCACCUCCCAGACGAUGAUCCCAAAGAUACCCUUCGGUGUGAGGCUUUAGAUGGUAAACCCAUGGUUUCAGAAUUUGUGGUACAGUACUACGCACAGAAGUAUGGUCAGUCUCUCUUCCUGGAUCCAAAUAAGAAAGGCGGCUAUGUUGAUGUGAGAUUUGCAGACCAUGAUCAAGCACUAUUAGUUGUAGAACGACGUGAGGAGUAUCCAUUCAAAGUGACUUGGACACGUACCGUUGAUAGAUCGCAGAUGAUUAGUAAGUCUGUCAUUUCUCAAUACGAUGCAAAAUAGCACUGUUAGUUGCAUGAUUUCUGCUCAAUGUAUGGCUUGAUGCUGGUAGCAAACGGAUACAUAGGUACUCCCUCGUUUAAAUCACUACUUUAGUGAUCUACACGCUCCUAUAUUUCUUUACGGAGGGAGUGCAUCAGACAUUUCAUGUUUUGCGUUGCUGUGUUAGUAACUUAAUGUAGCAUAUUCCAUGCAAUAUUUGUUCCA